RNAcentral lists this ribosomal RNA (888 nucleotides) under Apicotermitinae gen. E sp. CMRT116. RNAcentral describes it as "partial 16S ribosomal RNA". The stretch from base 419 to 791 matches the Rfam family "Bacterial large subunit ribosomal RNA", at positions 2073 to 2647 of the family's 2925-position model. Lineage: Eukaryota; Metazoa; Arthropoda; Insecta; Blattodea; Termitidae. The record is from RNAcentral.
AUUAUUUCUAGUAUUAUAUGUGUAUUUUAUUGUUUCCAGUACGUAUUUCUGUUUUACUAAUUGGUUUAUGUUUAUUUGGGUGAAAACUUUUGUUGUUAAUGGGGUUUUACGUGUGUGCGAUUAUAUAUUAAUAUGAGUUUAUGUUGUUUAUUAUUAUGUUAGAUUCUUUUGAGGAAUUCGGCAAAGUUUUAUGUCCGCCUGUUUAACAAAAACAUCUUUUCUUGUUAGUUUUUGAAGUAUGACCUGCCCACUGACUUAUUUGUUGAAGGGCCGCGGUAUUUUGACCGUGCAAAGGUAGCAUAAUCAUUAGUUCUUUAAUUGUGAUCUGGUAUGAAUGGUUUGACGAGGCAUAAUCUGUCUUAUAUUAGUUGAAUAAUUUGGUUGAAUUUGGUCUUUGAGUUAAAAUACUUAGAUGUUUUUAUGGGACGAGAAGACCCUAUAGAGUUUGACAUUUAAAUAUUUAUUUGCUGUUGUUUGUUUGUUUGUUUUGAUUGAGUAAGUUAAAUGUUUUGUUGGGGUGAUGGGAGGAAUUUAUGUAACUCCUCUUUAUUUAUUUAUAUUUAUGUAUAUUUGUUUUGAUCCAUUUAUUUUGAUUAUAAGAUUAAAUUACCUUAGGGAUAACAGCGUUAUCUUCCCUGAGAGUUCUUAUUGGCGGGAAGGGUUGCGACCUCGAUGUUGGAUUAAGAUGAAUUUUUGGUGCAGGAGCUGAAAUGAUUAGGUCUGUUCGACCUUUAAAAUCUUACAUGAUCUGAGUUCAGACCGGCGUGAGCCAGGUUGGUUUCUAUCUAUAAUGAUAUUUUAUAUCUUAGUACGAGAGGACCGGGUAUUUGGAAUAAUUUUAUUUAUUAUGAUUAUUAAUAAUGUUGCUAUUUUGGCAGAUAAGUGCAU